CGUACACUCCUGCGGGAGGCAGCAGUGGGGAAUAUUGGACAAUGGGCGCAAGCCUGAUCCAGCCAUGCCGCGUGAGUGAUGAAGGCCCUAGGGUUGUAAAGCUCUUUCACCGGUGAAGAUAAUGACGGUAACCGGAGAAGAAGCCCCGGCUAACUUCGUGCCAGCAGCCGCGGUAAUACGAAGGGGGCUAGCGUUGUUCGGAUUUACUGGGCGUAAAGCGCACGUAGGCGGACUAUUAAGUCAGGGGUGAAAUCCCGGGGCUCAACCCCGGAACUGCCUUUGAUACUGGUAGUCUUGAGUUCGAGAGAGGUGAGUGGAAUUCCGAGUGUAGAGGUGAAAUUCGUAGAUAUUCGGAGGAACACCAGUGGCGAAGGCGGCUCACUGGCUCGAUACUGACGCUGAGGUGCGAAAGCGUGGGGAGCAAACAGGAUUAGAUACCCCAGUAGUCCC
This 450-nucleotide ribosomal RNA is filed under the name uncultured organism. RNAcentral describes it as "partial 16S ribosomal RNA". It matches the Rfam family "Bacterial small subunit ribosomal RNA", at positions 330 to 797 of the family's 1533-position model. The record is from RNAcentral.